This 448-nucleotide ribosomal RNA is filed under the name uncultured bacterium. RNAcentral describes it as "bacterial SSU rRNA". It matches the Rfam family "Bacterial small subunit ribosomal RNA", at positions 28 to 458 of the family's 1533-position model. The record is from RNAcentral.
GAUGAACGCUGGCGGCGUGCUUAACACAUGCAAGUCGAACGAAGCGCCUUGAUUUGAUUCUUCGGAUGAAGAUCUUGGUGACUGAGUGGCGGACGGGUGAGCAACGCGUGGGUAACCUGCCUCAUACAGGGGGAUAACAGUUAGAAAUGACUGCUAAUACCGCAUAAGACCACAGCACCGCAUGGUGCAGGGGUAAAAACUCCGGUGGUAUGAGAUGGACCCGCGUCUGAUUAGGUGGUUGGUGGGGUAACGGCCUACCAAGCCGACGAUCAGUAGCCGACCUGAGAGGGUGACCGGCCACAUUGGGACUGAGACACGGCCCAAACUCCUACGGGAGGCAGCAGUGGGGAAUAUUGCACAAUGGGGGAAACCCUGAUGCAGCGACGCCGCGUGAGCGAUGAAGUAUUUCGGUAUGUAAAGCUCUAUCAGCAGGGAAGAAAAUGACGGU